RNAcentral lists this long non-coding RNA (1791 nucleotides) under Mus musculus (house mouse). Its description in RNAcentral is "RIKEN cDNA 5930403N24 gene". The record is from RNAcentral. Lineage: Eukaryota; Metazoa; Chordata; Mammalia; Rodentia; Muridae.
CUCAUUUUGAACUUGUCUGUGCACAGCAUCAAGUGUGCUCCUGGAAGAGAGGCAACAGCGAGGAAAUCCUAAAAGACCGAGUCCUAGUCUCAGAAGAAAUCGCCUGCAAGGUUGAGAGACAGAAAGAAAAUCCCUGGAGACUCCACGUCUAACCCAGGCUAAAGGCAAAGCUCUACAGCGGUGUGUAGGAUAUCUCUCUCGUUCGCUACAGCCCUUGCCACCGAAGUACCAGACGCUUUUAGUGUGUGAAAGACCAGGCGUUGAUUUAAUGUAUCUGGAAGGGAGAGGGGAUAGAGGAUGCAACUUAAUAAAUAUUCCUCUAGUCUCGCUCAUGAAAACAUCCAAAACAUCUUUCGGCGUUUGCAUUUAAUGACUGCAACGUGAACGAUGGAGGCGAGAAGCAGUCGAGGGAAUGGCUCGUUUCUCUUAGUGUUGGCUCGGAAUUGUCAAACAGUUACUUUCUGUUCAUUGUAGGGAAAUAGGUCACACUUUGAGUGAAAAGGACAGUUGGUUCAAGCCAAUAACCCUUUGUUCAAGUGCUGUUUGACAGUCCCUGAGCAGAACAUCGUUGCGUGAAGUUUCAUCUCCUGUCCAGUACCUUUAGAUACAUUAUUAAAUCCCAAAGUCAUAUUCCACGGAGCGCCUGGAAGGAAUAUUUCGUCGAAACGCGUCUUGCCAACCAACGUGUUAGCACCCGUAAGGAAGCCUGCUGGACUGGCCCGAGAACCCGGCCGCCAGGAUGGACACGAAUCCCUCAUUAGCAGUUCCAACUUGAAAAGUCAACUGGGCUGGUCCAACACCACCAUCCAGGAGAUUCCCAAAGGCUCAAAAGUGGGUGUCUAUGCAUAAAGAAGACAGCAACAUGAAGCUGAGAUUGAUUCCCAUUGGUACUGAAUCAGAACUCAUAGAAACAAGUAAAUCUCCUUGGAAAUUAUCACCUAUCAGGUCACCAUCACACCAAGGCACUCGAAGAGACAUUGACGGCGAAAAGGAAUUGAACUCAAUGGGAAAGCACGGCACCAUGAAGGAGCCACCAUGCAAGGGCAGCAAGUGAAUCCAGGGGAGGUCUGUCUCCAAGAAGACGAGCAAGGAAGGCCGAAAUGCUCAUUUGUAAAGGAAGUAUUUGAAAUGUCACCCUCCCCCUUUUUUUCUAAACUGUUUUCUUGGGAAGCCUUCUUAUAGAAACUUAAGAAAAGAUGACUGGGAAUUUAUAUUGUUGAUAUGGGCACACCACGUCAAGGACCCCAAUGCCUCAGACCUCUGCAAAUGAUAAAGCUUCCAUGGGUCAGGUUUGGAGAAAUGGCAAAGCCUUCCACUCUCCCGAGUACCAGUAUUGACAACUGAUUGCUCUUUAGUUAAUGCCAGUGUAGAGUUAGCACCCACCAGAACCAUGGCUUCCUCCUGCUGCAUAUUUACAACUUAAGACUGUUCCCCUAUGAAGACUUCCCACUCAGACAAGCUAACCCCUCAGUGGUGGUUUGAAUGAGAAUGACCCCUGUACAAUCAUACAGUUGAAUGCCCCCCCCCCCCACCCAGUUGGCGAAUCUGUUUGGGAAGGAUUAGGAGGUGUAGACUUGGAGGAGGUGUGUUACUGGAGGUGGUCUUUGAGGUUUAAGAAGCCCCCACCAUUUCCAAGUAGAAUCUCUCUCUGCCUAGUGCUUGUGAAUCAGAUAUAAACUCUCAACUGCUUCUACAGUGCCUACCUGCCUGUUUUCAUGUUUCCUGCCCUGAUAGUCAUGGACUCACCCUCUGAAACUGUAAGCAAAUUCUCAAUAAAAUACCUUCUUCUAU